This 253-nucleotide ribosomal RNA is filed under the name uncultured bacterium. RNAcentral's name for it is "partial 16S ribosomal RNA". It matches the Rfam family "Bacterial small subunit ribosomal RNA", at positions 524 to 776 of the family's 1533-position model. The record is from RNAcentral.
UACGGAGGGUGCAAGCAUUAAUCGGAAUUAUUGGGCGUAAAGGGCGCGUAGGCGGAUGUAUAAGUCAGAUGUGAAAUUCCGAGGCUCAACUUCGGAACUGCAUUUGAAACUAUACGUCUAGAGGAUUGGCGGAGAAAACGGAAUUCCACGUGUAGCGGUGAAAUGCGUAGAUAUGUGGAAGAACACCUGUGGCGAAAGCGGUUUUCUAGCUAUUUCCUGACGCUGAGGCGCGAGAGCAAGGGGAGCAAACAGG